UACACGCUGUGACUAGCAUAUCAAUAAGCGGAGGAAAAGAAACUAACAAGGAUUCCCCUAGUAACGGCGAGUGAAGCGGGAAGAGCUCAAAUUUGAAAUCUUAAAGGGUUUCCCUUUACGAAUUGUAGUUUAAAGAAGUGUUUUCUGUUGAGGUUUUGGUAAAAGUUCUUUGGAAUAGGACAUCAUAGAGGGUGAGAAUCCCGUAUUUGACCUUUACUUUCAACUUUGUGAUACACUUUCAAAGAGUCGGAUUGUUUGGGAAUGCAGUCCAAAAUGGGUGGUAAAUUUCAUCUAAAGCUAAAUAUUGGCGAGAGACCGAUAGCGAACAAGUACCGUGAGGGAAAGAUGAAAAGAACUUUGAAAAGAGAGUUAAACAGUACGUGAAAUUGUCAAAAGGGAAGCGUUUGACACCAGUGUUGUUUUUCUGAAAAUCAAUUAAAGAACUGUUUAUGCUAAGUUGUUUAGACUUUAUCAGCUAACUGUUUAGUUUUGAGCUUUUCUUUAAUGCACUUUUCAGUUAACAAGUCAACAUCAAUUUCUUUUGCUGUAAAAAAGCUUGAGGAAGGUGGCUUGAGAUUCGUCUUAAGUGUUUAUAGCCUCUUGCCUAUGCAGUCGGAGAGAUUGAGGUCUGCAGCGUAGAUCCUUCGGGGCUAAAUGCAUUUGUGCUAAGUUAUAGCAUUUUAUAGACAACUUGUUGACUAUGAUUUGUCUUGUAGCUUACUCGCUUAUGUUAUUUUACCUACGCUUAGGAUGUUGAGUCGUAGAGCACGCAG
Molecule: ribosomal RNA, 773 nt
Filed under: uncultured Neocallimastigales
Lineage: Eukaryota; Fungi; Neocallimastigomycota; Neocallimastigomycetes; Neocallimastigales
Description: partial large subunit ribosomal RNA
Rfam family: Eukaryotic large subunit ribosomal RNA
Source: RNAcentral